CCCAGACUCCUACGGGAGGCAGCAGUGGGGGAUAUUGCACAAUGGGGGGAACCCUGAUGCAGCGACGCCGCGUGGGUGAAGGAGCGUUUCGGCGCGUAAAGCCCUAUCGGCAGGGAAGAAGGAGGACGGUACCUGACUAAGAAGCCCCGGCUAACUACGUGCCAGCAGCCGCGGUAAUACGUAGGGGGCAAGCGUUAUCCGGAUUUACUGGGUGUAAAGGGGGCGCAGACGGCAGCGCAAGCCAGGAGUGAAAGCCCGGGGCCCAACCCCGGGACUGCUCUUGGAACUGCGCGGCUGGAGUGCAGGAGGGGCAGGCGGAAUUCCUGGUGUAGCGGUGAAAUGCGUAGAUAUCAGGAGGAACACCUGUGGCGAAGGCGGCCUGCUGGACUGCAACUGACGUUGAGGCCCGAAAGCGUGGGGAGCAAACAGGAUUAGAUACCCCCGUAGA
Molecule: ribosomal RNA, 448 nt
Filed under: uncultured bacterium
Lineage: Bacteria
Description: partial 16S ribosomal RNA
Rfam family: Bacterial small subunit ribosomal RNA
Source: RNAcentral